UAAAAUCAUUGGAGAAAGGUGAAUCGCAUUGAAAUGCUGAGGCUCCAUGAGUGACAUGUGCAGCAAACUCUAUUUAGCAAGGACUGUAGGAGGGCAGCGAGAGAGAGAUGGAAGUUCAGGGCCUUGCAAGAUUGGAGAAGUUGGAGCUCACGGUGCCCUACAAAUGAAGACCUCUUACGCCUGGGAAGCUGAUGCCAGCCAGGGUGGGAAGGGCGAGAAGGCGGCGAGUGCUGUAUUGUGCUUCAGGGACCUAUGGCACAGCCAAGCAGCUUCCCAGCGUGGAGUCCUGCCCUCGGGACCUGUUGCUGCCCAGGCAGUGGGAAGGUAUUGCAACAUCCUCUGCGGCUGCAUAUGCUGACCUCCAGAAAUGUUUGAUCCGUGAUGUUUCAGAGACGGAGCUAAAACCAGCCCGUGCUCACCGACUAAUCAUCAGCACUGCGUGCACGUGGGGCUUCAGCCUGAGGUCCAGGAAGUACGGCUCCUGUAAUUUGCAUCCAGAUAUCAGGAAGCGAUGCGUUAUGAGAACAUCUCAUCUACCGCCAGGGAUGAACCCGCAGAAAUCACUUAUACCAACAGAUUCACAGGUUGGCACCCCAAGCCCCAUCAGCAGCCGUCCGAGUGGCCCCGCUCCUGCUCGCCGCGGGCACCUUCGAGGAGCAAAGGCAAAAUUUGAUCCCGAUGGAUGCAAAAGGUUGACAGCCCUAAGAGCAGAGCGGAGAGACAAAGUCCCAGCUGCCGCCUUGGUGUUUUGGUUCUGGGGCCAGCCCGGAGCUCUGCCCCUCACCUCAUCUUGACCUGCUGAGUUCAUCCUUCCUGGACGUCACAGGGGCUAGUCCUCUCUCUGCUUUUUUCUGGCCA
RNAcentral lists this long non-coding RNA (858 nucleotides) under Falco tinnunculus (common kestrel). RNAcentral describes it as "lncRNA (ENSFTIG00000001902.1)". The record is from RNAcentral. Lineage: Eukaryota; Metazoa; Chordata; Aves; Falconiformes; Falconidae.